This 3299-nucleotide ribosomal RNA is filed under the name Pogostemon cablin (patchouli). RNAcentral's name for it is "eukaryotic LSU rRNA". It matches the Rfam family "Eukaryotic large subunit ribosomal RNA". Lineage: Eukaryota; Viridiplantae; Streptophyta; Magnoliopsida; Lamiales; Lamiaceae. The record is from RNAcentral.
GCAACUCCAGGCCAGGCGGGAUCACCCGCUGAGUUUAAGAAUAUCAAUAAGUGGAGGAAAAGAAACUUACAAGGAUUCCCCUAGUAACGGCGAGCAAACCCGAAAUAGCCCAACUUGAGAAUCGGGCGGCCACGCCAUUCGAAUUGUAGUCUGGAGAAGCGUCCUCAGCGGCGGACCGGGGUCGAGUCCCCUGGAAUUGGGCGCCAUAGAGGGUGAGAGCCCUGUUGCUCCUAGACCUUGUCGCACCACGAGGCGCUGUCGGCGAGUUGGGUUGUUUGGGAAUGCAGCCCCAAUCGGGCGGUAAAUUCCGACCAAGGCUAAAUACGGGCGAGAGACCGAUAGCUAACAAGUACCACGAGAAAAAGAUGAAAAGGACUUUGAAAAGAGAGUCAAAGAGUGCUUGAAAUUGUUGGGAGGAAAAUGGAUGGGGGCUGGUGAUGUGUCCCGGUCAAAUGUGGAAUGGCGAGAGCCGAUUCGCCAAUCUACUCGGGGUGCGGACCAGCACGGAUCGAUGCGACGCUCAAAGCUCGGGCAGUUGAUAAGCUCGUUGUAUGGCGUUGCGUCGAUCCAGGCAGACAACGCGCGCCUCGUGCGUGCCUCAAUAACAGCGCAUUCCCGGUGCUGGCCUGCAGGCUCCCCAUUCGACCCGUCUUGAAACACAGACCAAGGAGUCUGACAUGUGCGCGAGUCAAUGGGUGAUUAAACUCGUAAGGUGCAAGGAAGCUGACCGGUGCGAUCCCCCCGAGGGGUGCACCGCCGACCGACAUUGAUCUUCUGAGAAGGGUUUGAGUAAGUGUACCUGUUGGGACCCGAAAGAUGGUGAACUAUGCCUGAGCGGGGCGAAGCCAAAAGAAACUAUGGUGGAGGCCCGCAGCGAUACUAACGUGCAAAUUAUUCGUCUGACUUGGGUAUAGGGGUGAAAGACUAAUCGAACCAUCUAGUAGCUGUUCCCUCUGAAGUUUUCCUCAGGAUAGUUGGAGCUCUAGUACGAGUUCUAUCUGGUAAAGCCAAUGAUUAGAGGCAUCGGAGGCGCAACGCCCUUGACCUAUUCUCAAACUUUAAAUAGGUAGGACGACGCGGUUGAUCUUAUGAGCUGCGCCGGAGAAUCGUGAGCUCCAAGUUGGCCAUUUUUGGUAAGCAGAACUGGGGAUGCAGGAUGAACCAGAAGCCAGGUUACGGUGCCCAACUGCGCGCUAACCUAGACCCCACAAAGGGUGUUGGUCGAUUAAGACAGCAGGACGGUGGUCAUGGAAGUCGAAAUCUGCUAAGGAAUGUGUAACAACUCACCUGCAGAAUCAACUAGCCCCGAAAAUGGAUGGCGCUGAAGCGCGCGACCUAUACCCAGUCGUCAGGGCAAGGGCCAUGCCCCGAUGAGUAGGAGGGCAUGGCGGUCACUGCAAAACCCUGGCGCGAGCCCGGGUGGAGAGGCCGUCGGUGUAGAUCUUGGUGGAAGUAGCAAAUAUUCAAAUGAGAACUUUGAAGGCUUAAGAGGGGAAAGGUUCCAUGUGAACGGCACUUGCACAUGGGUUAGUCGAUCCUAAGGUUCGGGGGAAGCACAAUAGACAGCGCAUUCAGUGUGUACUCCGAAAGGGAAUCAGGUUAAAAUUCCUGAACCGGCAUAUGGUGGUUGACGGUAACGUUGGGGAGUCCGGAGAUGUCGGCGGGGGCCAUGGGAAGAGUUAUCUUUUCUGUUUAAUAGCCCACCCACCCUGGAAAUGGCUCAGUUGGAGGUAGGGUCCAGUACCUGGAAGAGCACCGCACGUCGCAUGGUGUCUAGUGUGCCGCAUCAGGUCUCCAAGGUGAACAGCCUCUGGUCGAUGGAACAAUGUAGGCAAGGGAAGUCAGCAAAAUGGAUGCGUAACCUCAGGAAAAGGAUUGGCUCUGAGGGCUGGGCAUGGGGGUCCCAAUCCCGAACCCGUCAGCUGUUGGCGAACAGCUCAAGCUGCUCGCGCGGUGAGAGUGGGUCAUUGCUUGCUGGCCGGGGGACGGACUGGGAACGACUCCCUCGGGGGCCUUCCCGGGUGUCAAACAGCCAACUCAGAACUGGUACGGACAAGGGGAAUCCAACUAUUUAAUUAAAUCAAAGCAUUGGCAUGGUCCCUGCGGAUGCUCACGUAAUGUGAUUUCUGCUAGUGCUCUGAAUGUCAAAGUGAAAAAAUUCAACCAAGCAUGGGUAAACGACGGGAGUAACUAUGACUCUCUUAAGGUAGCCAAAUGCCUCGUCAUCUAAUUAGUGACAUGCAUGAAUAGAUUAACGAGAUUCCCACUGUCCCUGUCUACUAUCCAGCGAAACCACAACCAAGGGAACGGGCUUAGCAGAAUUAGUGGGGAAAGAAGACCCUGUUGAGCUUGACUCUAGUCCGACUUUGUGAAAUGACUUGAGAGGUGUAGGAUAAGUGGGAGCCGAAAGGCAAAAGUGAAAUACCACUACUUUUAAUGUUAUUUUACUUAUUCCGUGAAUCGGAGGCGGGGCAUCGCCCCUUUUUUUAGACCCAAGGCUCAGCCCGGCGGGCCGAUCCGGGCAGAAGACAUUGUUAGGUCGGGAGUUUGGCUGGGACGACACAUCUGUUAAAAGAUAACGCAGGUGUCCUAAGAUGAGCUCAACGAGAACAUAAAUCUCGUGUGGAAUAAAAGGUUAAAACUCGUUUGAUUCUGAUUUCCAGUGCGAAUAUGAACCAUGAAAGCAUGGCCUAACGAUCCUUUAGACCUUUGGAAUUUGAAGCUAGAGGUGUCAGAAAAAUUACCACAGGGAUAACUGGCUUGUGGCAGCCAAUCAUUCAUAGCGAUGUUGCUUUUUUAUCCUUCGAUGUCGGCUCUUCCUAUCAUUGUGAAGCAGAAUUCACCAAGUGUUGGAUUGUUCACCUACCAAUAUGGAACGUGAGCUGGGGUUAGACCAUUGUGAGAAAGUUAAUUUUACCCUACUGAUGAUGGUGUCGCUAUAGUAAUUCAACCUAGUACGAGAGGAACUGUUGAUUCGCACAAUUGGUCAUCGCGCUUUCUUGAAAAGCUAGUGGCGCGAAGCUACCGUGCGCUGGAUUAUGACUGAACGCCUCUAAGUCAGAAAAUGAACUAGACACGACGCAUGUGGCCACUGUCCUCUCCCCGACCUGCAGUAGGGCCCCCCGGGCCCCCAAGGACACGUGUCGUUGGCCAAGCCCCCGCAGCGGACGAGCUACGUGGGCUGCCUCAAAGUAUAAUUCUAAUCGAGAGGAGGUAGAAUCCUAUGCAGACGACUUAAAUAUGCAACCGGGUAUUAUAAGCUGCAGAGUGGCCUUGCUGCCAUGAUCCACUGAGAUUCA